This 468-nucleotide ribosomal RNA is filed under the name uncultured bacterium. RNAcentral's name for it is "partial 16S ribosomal RNA". It matches the Rfam family "Bacterial small subunit ribosomal RNA", at positions 28 to 507 of the family's 1533-position model. The record is from RNAcentral.
GACGAACGCUGGCGGUGUGCUUAACACAUGCAAGUCGAACGGAAAGGCCCUGCUUUUGUGGGGUGCUCGAGUGGCGAACGGGUGAGUAACACGUGAGUAACCUGCCCUUGACUUUGGGAUAACUUCAGGAAACUGGGGCUAAUACCGGAUAGGAGCUCCUGCUGCAUGGUGGGGGUUGGAAAGUUUCGGCGGUUGGGGAUGGACUCGCGGCUUAUCAGCUUGUUGGUGGGGUAGUGGCUUACCAGGGCUUUGACGGGUAGCCGGCCUGAGAGGGUGACCGGCCACAUUGGGACUGAGAUACGGCCCAGACUCCUACGGGAGGCAGCAGUGGGGAAUAUUGCACAAUGGGCGGAAGCCUGAUGCAGCAACGCCGCGUGCGGGAUGACGGCCUUCGGGUUGUAAACCGCUUUCGCCUGUGACGAAGCGUGAGUGACGGUAAUGGGUAAAGAAGCACCGGCUAACUACGUG